AUACGGAGGGUGCAAGCGUUAUUCGGAAUCACUGGGCGUAAAGGGUGCGUAGGCGGUUUGAUAAGUCUGAUGUGAAAUCCUAUGGCUCAACCAUAGAACUGCAUUGGAAACUGUCAGACUAGAAUACUGAAGGGGCAGAUGGAAUUAGUGGUGUAGGGGUAAAAUCCGUAGAUAUCACUAGGAAUACCGAAAGCGAAAGCGAUCUGCUGGGAAGUUAUUGACGCUGAGGCACGAAAGCGUGGGGAGCAGACGGGAUUAGAAACCCUAGUAGUCC
Molecule: ribosomal RNA, 274 nt
Filed under: uncultured bacterium
Lineage: Bacteria
Description: partial 16S ribosomal RNA
Rfam family: Bacterial small subunit ribosomal RNA
Source: RNAcentral